This 301-nucleotide ribosomal RNA is filed under the name uncultured bacterium. RNAcentral describes it as "partial 16S ribosomal RNA". It matches the Rfam family "Bacterial small subunit ribosomal RNA", at positions 509 to 807 of the family's 1533-position model. The record is from RNAcentral.
CAGUAGCCACGGGAAUACGUAGGUGGCAAGCGUUGUCCGGAAUUAUUGGGCGUAAAGGGCUCGCAGGCGGUUUCUUAAGUCUGAUGUGAAAGCCCCCGGCUCAACCGGGGAGGGUCAUAGGAAACUGGGAAACUUGAGUGCAGAAGAGGAGAGUGGAAUUCCACGUGUAGCGGUGAAAUGCGUAGAGAUGUGGAGGAACACCAGUGGCGAAGGCGACUCUCUGGUCUGUAACUGACGCUGAGGAGCGAAAGCGUGGGGAGCGAACAGGAUUAGAUACCCCCGUAGUCCCUGUCUCUUAUAC